AGCUUUGCGCAGUGGCAGUAUCGUAGCCAAUGAGGUUUAUCCGAGGCGCGAUUAUUGCUAAUUGUAAGUAAGGAGCAAGAUGCUUUGUAUAGACCUCUCAAAAUCAGAUGGAAAUGUCUAAAUGUACAUUAUUUUA
RNAcentral lists this small nuclear RNA (136 nucleotides) under Neogale vison (American mink). Its description in RNAcentral is "Neovison vison (American mink) U4 spliceosomal RNA (ENSNVIG00000001660.1)". It matches the Rfam family "U4 spliceosomal RNA". From Rfam's summary of the family: U4 small nuclear RNA (U4 snRNA) is a component of the major U2-dependent spliceosome. The structure of U4 snRNA from yeast and human has been reported. The record is from Rfam by way of RNAcentral. Lineage: Eukaryota; Metazoa; Chordata; Mammalia; Carnivora; Mustelidae.